UAUUGGAAAUGGGAAACAAUUGCUGGGGUGGCUACUGGUUUUUCAACCUCCUUAACAUCAAUGAGUUUUAUUAGACUCUUUCAACAGAUGAAAUCUCGGCAUUGGUUGCGUCCAACCAGGAUCCUUCCUUGCACCGAUCUUGUUGAAUAUUGUACUUAGCAGAAAAAGAGAAAAACGUUUGCUCGGCAAGUAAGUGUUUGGUUUUUGUGUGGAAUAGAGGGACGUAUGUAGUGAAGGGGAAGUUACAGCAAGAGGCAAUUGGAAAUGCUGCUGUUGAUGUCUUAA
Molecule: long non-coding RNA, 285 nt
Organism: Rhodamnia argentea
Lineage: Eukaryota; Viridiplantae; Streptophyta; Magnoliopsida; Myrtales; Myrtaceae
Exons: 2
Source: RefSeq, a predicted model, not a curated record